This 490-nucleotide ribosomal RNA is filed under the name uncultured bacterium. RNAcentral describes it as "partial 16S ribosomal RNA". It matches the Rfam family "Bacterial small subunit ribosomal RNA", at positions 30 to 507 of the family's 1533-position model. The record is from RNAcentral.
AUUGAACGCUGGCGGCAGGCUUAACACAUGCAAGUCGAGCGGUAGCACAAGAGAGCUUGCUCUCUGGGUGACGAGCGGCGGACGGGUGAGUAAUGUCUGGGAAACUGCCUGAUGGAGGGGGAUAACUACUGGAAACGGUAGCUAAUACCGCAUAACGUCGCAAGACCAAAGAGGGGGACCUUCGGGUCUCUUGCCAUCAGAUGUGCCCAGAUGGGAUUAGCUAGUAGGUGGGGUAAUGGCUCACCUAGGCGACGAUCCCUAGCUGGUCUGAGAGGAUGACCAGCCACACUGGAACUGAGACACGGUCCAGACUCCUACGGGAGGCAGCAGUGGGGAAUAUUGCACAAUGGGCGCAAGCCUGAUGCAGCCAUGCCGCGUGUGUGAAGAAGGCCUUCGGGUUGUAAAGCACUUUCAGCGAGGAGGAAGGUGGUGAACUUAAUACGUUCAUCAAUUGACGUUACUCGCAGAAGAAGCACCGGCUAACUCCGUG